GAUGAACGCUGGCGGCGUGCCUAAUACAUGCAAGUCGAGCGAACGGACGAGAAGCUUGCUUCUCUGAUGUUAGCGGCGGACGGGUGAGUAACACGUGGAUAACCUACCUAUAAGACUGGGAUAACUUCGGGAAACCGGAGCUAAUACCGGAUGAUAUUUUGAACCGCAUGGUUCAAAAGUGAAAGACGGUCUUGCUGUCACUUAUAGAUGGAUCCGCGCUGCAUUAGCUAGUUGGUAAGGUAACGGCUUACCAAGGCAACGAUGCAUAGCCGACCGGAGAGGGUGAUCGGCCACACUGGAACUGAGACACGGUCCAGACUCCUACGGGAGGCAGCAGUAGGGAACCGGCCGCAAUGGGCGAAAGCCUGACGGAGCAACGCCGCGCGAGUGAUGAAGGUCUUCGGAGCGUAAAAAUCUGUUAUUAGGGAAGAACAUAUGUGUAAGUAACUGUGCACAGCUUGACGGUACCUAAUCAGAAAGCCACGGCUAACUACGUG
Molecule: ribosomal RNA, 497 nt
Filed under: uncultured bacterium
Lineage: Bacteria
Description: partial 16S ribosomal RNA
Rfam family: Bacterial small subunit ribosomal RNA
Source: RNAcentral